UGGCGGCCCCCACCCACGAGGCUGCCCCGCGCCAGCUUCUGCAGCUCGACGGGCACCACGGCGCUGGGGCAGUGCUUCUCGAUGUAGUCCUGGAAUCCCUGCACUCCCAUGCAAACGCCUGCCUCGGCUGCCAGCAUGCUCCUACAAACCUCCCAGCCUGCACAGAGCACCAGAGCUGAACUCAUGCCAGGAAAGUGCUUGUCUCGUAAGAGAGCUCUGCAUGUUUCAGUUAUGGAAGAGAAAACGGCGCAAAAAACCUGUGUCAGAGGAAGAAUGGCAGAACUAGCCCACUUCAACAUCUCACACAGAUGAGAAUUAAUCAGAAUUAAAUACAGGUUGGAAGCUUGUCUAAACUGGCAUCUGCUGCAUAUUCCAACAAUUACAAACAUACUUGAAACCAGACAUGGUUUGAUUCUGGAGUAACCUUGUUUUCAUCUGGUAAGGGAAUUGGUUCCCAGAUCAGGAUGAUACAUGAAGAAAAGCAUGCAGAUAAGGCAUCGUUUGCCCAAACAUGUCAUCAGAAACUGACUUCCUAAAGGAUCAGGAGAGUCCUCCAUGCCAGGACAGCCAGGGCACACCAAUCAUCCACAUGCCAUUCCUGCUUCAGCUCAGGGCUCUAUCUUCUGAACCUCAGGUCACCUCCCAGCCACGGUGGUACUGGCUUACCUGGGACAUUUUUGGAGCUUAACAUCAUAACAAGUGUGUCUCUGCAAAACACUCUGCUUUUAGAAAAACAUCACAUUUCCACAAAGACACUUUCCUAAUUUCUUUUCCUUAAAUCUGAGUUGUAAUGAGGGUAAGAGGUAUGUGAUUCCUUAAACCUAAAGGAGACAUCCAAUGGAAAAAAAGCAAUCUUAAUUCUAAAAUGACUGUUUCAGCAAUGACUUGUAAUCUGUGCAGUUUUAUCUACUUGAUAAUACCCCGCUUAGUGUUAGAUCUAAAAUAAGAAUGAAAUGAGAAAAUCAUGCCUUUGAUAUGCAUUAAGUUAUUCAGUUAGUAAAUUAGUGAAUCUUAUCCUGAGUGUUAUUAGCUAUUAGCAUGUUACACUUCUUGAUGUUGCUCAUGAAGAAUGCAUAUGAAAAUGAGGAAAAAAAUUCCCUUUUGAAGUUCCUGCCACUUGAGUUGUUGACAUUUCUUUUAAUUGGUGAAUGUCCUCUUGAAUGCAGUAUUCCACUGUCUGGUUUUAUGAGAGAUUCUUCAUUUUUAAUUUGUUCUCCCAUUGAUUAGACUUUUUUGAAUGGGUAGCUCUCAAGAUAAUUAGCCUUUCAAGGGAACCUAAAUAGUUAUUAAUGAGUAUCUCCCCCAUUCAGUACACUUAAGCCUUUUUCAUUAGGGGAAUUUCAAGCUUACAUGUGGGCUGGUUGAACCAGGCCUGGUACCACCGAAGACAGUGGGAAUCACUGCAGAUUUCAGGAAGAACGAGAUCAGACCCUGAGAGUGAAGAAAGAUCAUUUACAUUCACUUUGUCUUUGGCAGAUGUCUGUUUUCUAGGAGUACUUACAAACAGUUCUUCAGGAUACAGGGUAGAUUGAGAAGGGAGUGAGAUGAGUGAAAGAAAACAAGGUGAUUCCAUGUGAACCAGGACUCCAUCUUCAAAGGAUCCCAUCAGCUGCUGCAGCUGGGCCAAGGAGCCUCAAUUAUUCUGCCUGGUUCCCAGUGCUGGAAAUGUACAGCUCCCUUUUCUUUAAAGCCAAUGUACAUUACACAAACAUAAACCCCUAAAACCAACAAUCAUUCUGUAUCUGAUGUUACUUUCCCACUAAAGAUCCAAGGAUCUUCAGUCAGAAUAUGCUUUAGUUUAGGAAUUGUUGCCAGUGUUACCCUCACAGUUAAGAGCACACUGGAUAAUAAAAUACUCCAACAUGUCACACACAGCUACAGUGACCUGAUCCCAUUCUGGGUCCUGCUUGGCUCCCCUAAGCCAGUUCUUGUCCCUUCCCUUCCUCUCAUCCUUAACCUUAAACUCUGCCCCGAGCAUUGCCAGGUAUCCUCCUGCUAAAAUACAGUCUUACUUUUGUAUGUCACACUCUGUCCUUUCUGUUUGCUCUUUCAAAACAGACUGAAACAUCCUCAUCCCUUCUGUGCCUCCCCAUAGCUCUCCCGCUGUCUUUCCCUGCUAUCUCCACACUUGGCCAUUAAGGAACCUCUACCACAAACAUGGAUUUUCCUGCCAUUCCUGGACAGACUUGUCUUCUAUCCAAACCAGAAUCUCGUGGCAUUUCUCCAUGAAGGUGUAGCUAUCUGAUCAAGGUCAGUGUCCUAAAGCAGGGGGGUUUAGAGUCUUUCAAGCUCAUGCCAUCAGUUUAUUUCCCACUUUCUGUGAACAGUAUGAUGACUGCUUUUUUUCAUUCCCAUCUGCUGUCUCGAUCACACCAUGGGCCAGCCUGGACUGACUGGAUUUAAAUUUGUCCCUUAUUUCUCCAUGACAGAAAUGGCAUUUCAGAUAUGUCCUUUUCUAUCCUAACUGAGAACUAAAGCUUUGAACCAGGCUCUGGUGAUCUUAUGGCUCACAUCCAUAACAUUCCUGCUUUCUGGGCUCGACCAAUGCAGUUAGGAUGAUAAAGUCAAAUAAUUUUAUCUAAUUUAUGGCUUUUAUCCUUAGUAGUCUCUUCAGCCUCCUUUUGUUUCCUGCUUCUCUGUCGUUUCGAAUAAGUUAACUGCUCUUUGCUUUCCCAGUGCCCUCCUUGACCCACCUGCCCUAUCCAUCUCUUUCACUAGGAAAUUGCUUGUCCCUCCCACGGGCAGUAAUUCCAAAAUUUCCUCCGUAGCCAAGAAGUCAUUUCACCCACAAAGCUGUCUCCUAAAUCUCUUGAAGAUGCCGUGAGUGGAUCCUUGUUUUCCUGUCCCAUGCACAGACACGGUGAGCACGACCAGCGCAGCCGGCUCUUUGCUUCCACCUCCUCCUGCCUGUCUGUUGGGCUGCUUUGUCCCCAGCUGUCACUUCCCUGCCCUGGGGUUGCUCUUUUCAUCCACAUUUAUGCACAGCCAAUUUCAGUGGGUUUUUAUUCCGUGCUGCAGCUUUCUAUAAGCUACACAAAAUAAUAGUUGGCUGUUUUGUCUCUGCUUGUACUGAUUCUUCAGUCCCUGAAGACCAACAUCUUCCUUGCAAUAGACACGAGUAGUUUUUUCAGAAGAAAUAGCUCAACAACUUCAGUAUGAAAAAAAAGGGUCAGAAACAUCAUCAUCACCUUUCAGGUAGAAAAUCAAUAUGAAAAUAAUGAAAUUGAAAAAAACAAUUUCAAAUAAAGCCCAAGGUGAUCCAACACAGGUUGUAAAAGUCAGAAUAAAUGGCCAACCAAACAACCACUGCAGAGUCGUAACUUAAAGAGAAGCUUGACUUUGGGGAAGAGCAAUGUUUAUAGAGAGGCUAAUUUAAUUUUAUUGAAUACUAUUAAAAUACCUAUUAAAAGUUACAAGUUGUAGUCCAGAAUUCUGCAGUGCAGCUCAGAGGAGAGCUAGCAUGGGCUGUGAGCUGGCCUGACAUGGUGAUCUAUUUCUGAUAUCAUAUAAAAUAAGCUAUUUCAAGAGCGCAUUUCCAGGCAAGCUGCCUGGGUGGAGCCCUGCCCUCACUGCAAUCAACAGUUUUACCAGUGACACUGGUGAAAUGACGUUUUCCUCUUGUUUUUAGCCUCUGCAAGAUUAAAUAUUGGGCCAGGAAACCCAUAUCAGUUCUAUUGCAUGCAAUACCAGUGAUUUUAAACACAAUAUCUGCUUGGGAUGAUUAUUAAAUGGAAUUUGAAAAGUGAUUUAUUAAGAUAAAUUUUGUGGUUUUUUUGGUUUAUUGCCCAGAUUUCCUAAUUGUGCCAUGUCACUUUGUAUGGUAGCUGCCUCUGCUGUACCAGGACAAAAUAUACACUUAAGCCUUUGGGCAUGAGAGGUGAGUCGUUUCCAUUCCCCAUCCCACUGGAAAAUCAACAAAAGCAAGCCUUUAAUAGUAUGAAUUCCAUUAUGGCCCAGCCUGGCAAGCACCUAAAUCCUGCAAGUGCUAUGAUAAUUUAUCUUUGAACUCGUUAGUAGCACAGCAUAAUUAACAAGUAAGCUGUAGGAACAUGCCGUCGCUCUGUAUUUACACGACAUUUGCUGUGCAGUUGUGGUAUAAUUACAGAGAUUAUACCUGCUCUCUAGAAUAAGAGUACAUGUUGUACCUCAUUUUGUGCCAUUUCACACCAGUGGAGCAGAGCACAGCGUGGUGGAGUUGAACAAGUAUUUCAUUCUGCUGUAGGUAGACGGGUGUGGAUCUGCACAGAGCGCUGCUAUUCAAACCUGCACUGUGGUUUCAGGCAGCUUGGGGUGGCAACUGGAGCUCAAGUGAUUUAUAUUUUGGACUGCUGCCCUUUCAGUGAUGUCAGUGAACUUGAAUAUGCAGAUUUAAAAACAGGCAGGCUAGCAUUUGGGUUUUUUCAGUAUAGCAACCUUCCUUUCUCAUGUAUAGUAUUGUAGGUUUCUAUAGUAAUUACAGGAAAUGCAUGGCAAGAAUGUAUCUGCUUACAAAGAUUUCAUUUUUUGGAUUUGUUUUAUGCCAGCACAUCCCCAUUUCUCUGCCCUAAAACCCCAUUGGUAUCACCGUACCAAAUGUGAAGUCACAUCACGUAGGCACUGAGAAAAAAAUACAAGCAAAUUAUGAAAAAUGCAAAGAAAUAUGCUGUGCCUCUGAGUUGGUCACAUUUUAUGUGAUUCAGCGUAAACUGUAAGUAAAACUAACUUAAAGAUUCUGUUAUGUUUGAGAUCUAUAUCUGGCAGGAAGGGGAAUACUGUACACAGCACUUGGCAUAGGAAUUGCUGUGCCACUGCUCCAAAGCAGGGCAACAGCCUUUAAACUCACACACUGCACUAUUGCCUGCUCUGAGAAGCAUGCACAGGCCUUCCUAGAGUGUGGAUCUUCCUAGGGCAGCAGCCAUUUACACAGGCCUUCCUAGAGCAUGGUCACACCACCACACUGGUCAAGUAACUCAACAGAAACAUGGAUUUAUUUUGCUGUUGCCGGAGAGUAAAAUUUCACUUCAGCAUACAAGAAAACUAUCUAAGAGUUCCCUGUUCUGCUCCAGGUGGAAGAAAAAGAAGGGAGCUUUUCUAAGUGUAAAUUAUUGU
Long non-coding RNA from Corapipo altera (White-ruffed manakin), 5088 nucleotides. RefSeq lists it as uncharacterized. NCBI's taxonomy places the organism in Eukaryota, Metazoa, Chordata, Aves, Passeriformes, Pipridae. The record is from RefSeq and is a predicted model, not a curated record. The transcript has 6 exons.